CGAGAAAGCCCGCAAGGGUGAGUACAGCGGCGCACGGGUGCGUAACACGUGAGUAAUCUGCCCUGGAGCCCGGAAUAACCUCCCGAAAGGGAAGCUAAUGCCGGAUGAGCCCACGGGGUCCUUGGACUCUGAGGGAAAAGGCGGCCUCUGUAUACAAGCUGUCACUUCAGGAUGAGCUCGCGGCCCAUCAGCUAGUUGGCGGGGUAAUGGCCCACCAAGGCUACGACGGGUAGCUGGUCUGAGAGGACGAUCAGCCACACUGGAACUGAGACACGGUCCAGACUCCUACGGGAGGCAGCAGUGGGGAAUCUCGCGCAAUGGGCGAAAGCCUGACGCAGCAACGCCGCGUGUGUGAUGAAGGUCUUCGGAUCGUAAAGCACUGUCGCGAGGGACG
This 394-nucleotide ribosomal RNA is filed under the name uncultured Anaeromyxobacter sp. Its description in RNAcentral is "bacterial SSU rRNA". It matches the Rfam family "Bacterial small subunit ribosomal RNA", at positions 67 to 447 of the family's 1533-position model. The record is from RNAcentral. Lineage: Bacteria; Pseudomonadati; Myxococcota; Myxococcia; Myxococcales; Anaeromyxobacteraceae.